AGAGUUUGAUCUGGCUCAGAACGAACGCUGGCGGCGUGCUUAACACAUGCAAGUCGAACGUGAUCCGGAGCUUGCUCCGGUGAAAGUGGCGCACGGGUGAGUAACGCGUGGAUAAUCUGCCCUGGUAUCUGGGAUAACAUCUCGAAAGGGGUGCUAAUACCGGAUAAGCCUACGGAGCCUUCGGUCUCUGCAGGAAAAGGUGGCCUCUAUUUAUAAGCUACCGUAUCAGGAUGGGUCCGCGUACCAUUAGCUAGUUGGUGGGGUAAUGGCCUACCAAGGCGACGAUGGUUAGCUGGUCUGAGAGGAUGAUCAGCCACACUGGAACUGAGACACGGUCCAGACUCCUACGGGAGGCAGCAGUGGGGAAUUUUGCGCAAUGGGGGAAACCCUGACGCAGCAACGCCGCGUGAGUGAUGAAGGCUUUCGGGUCGUAAAGCUCUGUCAGAGGGGAAGAAAUGAGAUUGGCUAAUAUCCAAUUUUCUUGACGGUACCCUCAAAGGAAGCACCGGCUAACUCCGUGCCAGCAGCCGCGGUAA
RNAcentral lists this ribosomal RNA (536 nucleotides) under uncultured bacterium. Its description in RNAcentral is "bacterial SSU rRNA". It matches the Rfam family "Bacterial small subunit ribosomal RNA", at positions 8 to 523 of the family's 1533-position model. The record is from RNAcentral.